Long non-coding RNA from Felis catus (domestic cat), 2746 nucleotides. RefSeq lists it as uncharacterized. NCBI's taxonomy places the organism in Eukaryota, Metazoa, Chordata, Mammalia, Carnivora, Felidae. The transcript is spliced from 5 exons. The record is from RefSeq and is a predicted model, not a curated record.
AUGGUGGGGUUGGGGGCGGGAAGAGUUAUAGAGCUCCUUCUGGGAUCUGUAAGUCCCCAGAUAUCGGAUCUGUAAGUCCCCAGAUAUCGGAAGAGUUAUAGAUAGCGGGAAGAGUUAUAGAGCUCCUUCUGGGAUCUGUAAGUCCCCAGAUAUCGGAAGGGACACCAGCCUUUACAGUAAAGACAGCCAGAUUCCAGCUUUCGUAUGAAGCUACCAGCUGCCUUGGAAAGGACCCACAGAUAAGAGCCAGGUGCUGUCUGCAUCCUUCCAACUCAUGGUGACUUUGGGAAUGGCCGUCCAGAGGCUUAGGAGUGGAGAUGCUGCUGUCAGGCACGGAGGAUACAAUUAGCCUUACUUUCUACAUGGGGAGACUGAGACUCGGAUGAGAAAAGUCAGUCUUUCAAGUCACACAUUUCAUCGCCGGCGGAGUCUGGGGCAUGAGUUCCUAUCUCCUGAUUCCCAGGUACAUGCUGUUUUUGCUAGACUCAAAGUAUUAAAGAAUCCAGACUCUUUGGAAGUAAUGAGGGAUUCCAGAAAUAGCCUUAGCAGUGCUUAACAAUUUGAAAGACCAAAGGCACUGAGGCCAAAGAAGAUUGAGACAGGAUGGAAGUACUCUCUUGUUCAGUCAGCUGGAUGACUAAAAGGAAAUCCCUAAGAAUAUUGUCCUAUUGCCCCACGAUCUAGUACUGGGUGAGCCUAUGCGUUCACGAGACAGAAAGCAGGAUAAUUGAGGCCCUGCAUCUCUUGGUCAAACAGAAUUUUCAGUGAAGCAAUUGACUGCCAGAGCCAGCAAGCUCUACUCAAGAAUCUAAUUUUUUAUCCUUCCUCCUCUGUAACUCAAGAUUGGAUCACCAUCACAUCCUACAAGUGGCAGUGAUUAUCGAAGAAAUGAUGUGUGUAUUUCUCUCUUCCUGUAAAAAACGAACCUGAUGGGAGCCCUUAGACUGGAUAAAUUCUGCAUGAUGACUGUCUUAACCAAUUCUUACUGAGGGUUAGGGAUUUGGGGAAGGCAAAUGCUUCAUCAUUAGAAAUGACACUUUGGGGGCACCUGGCUGGCUCAGUUAGUAAAGCAUGCGACUCUUGAUCUCAGGGUUCUGAGUUUGAGCCCUACGUUGGAUGUAGAGAUUACUUAAAAAUAAAAUCUUAAAAAAAUAAAAAGAAAUGAAACCUUGAAAGCCACCUAGCAUCAUGUUACCUGUCUGAGACUUAAUCUUCUGGGGCCCACCUGAGAUUCAGAAAAUAGAGAAUCCAAGUUAGCAGUCACGGUCAGGCACAUCCUAUACAAUUUGGGGCGACUGAUGGAGGGACAAAUAACCCUGCCCAACUGGUCAAGGCCUCAAGCCUUUGGUAAGUAACUUCUGGUUCUCCUAGCGUGGACUCCGAAUGAGUGAAUGAUUUUAAAUAUGGACAUGGUUAAGAUAAAGAAAAACUUUUGCUGCUUAAAGAACUUGCCUUCAACUCUGGAAAACUUAGCUAUCCAGCAAUUAUUCAUUUCCUGACCAUUCUGGUAACCCAGGUUUUAUUCUAUUGAGCUUUUGGAAAAAAACUUUUGUUUCACCAGCAGAGAAAAGUCUGGACCACAUGAACUAGUCUCACCUGGCAUGACAUUUCUCCUGUGCCUUCAACAAUUUCACAGCAUAUUGAUUCUUCAUUUCUUUCUCAGACAUCAGUUAAUUAGCUAACCUGGGUUUUGAUUCACACGUAUUAAACACCAUCUUUUUUGAGCACACAAAACCCCUCUUAUGUGACAUAAAUGGCAUUAUGUCCAAAAGAAUAGUGUUAGAUUGUCUUUUACCCUGGAAGAAAAGGAGGUAAUUAAUUUGAUAUAUAUUUUUUCACUGGCGAAUGUUAAUGCCAUUUCACUGCAGAAGGAAAGGUGAAUGGCUGUGCCCAGUCACUGCUCCUGGUUUUUGUGGCUCUGACAUUAUAUGAAAGGAGUUUGGGGGAAAUGGAAUGGAAUAGAAGGGCCUCAGUUGAAUAUGUGGAUAAGUAGUGUUCUUAAUACUUCAACAAAAUCUAAGAGAGUUUGCAAUUCAUAUAGCUUCUCUGAAAGGCUGCCAAGAGGGAUAUUUUCAAUAGAUUGGUGGAAUGAGGAAUUAAAUGUAGAUUAUUCUGGAAAAGAUUGGAAUUUAAUAUAACAUUUGAACAGGUUAAAUUUAUAUCAAUAAAAUACCAGAUGGAGAAUGGGACUGUUUAAUUUCCAGCACACAGAAGACACAUAACGGUUCUAGAAAGGAUGAACGCAGCGUCGGCUGCUGUCUGAGGCUUCUGUGUUCCUUUUCAAAAGCAGCCUGGGAAAUUUCUGCCAUUCUUUGAAAUUCAAGGCACUGGCAAAACUGCGGUCAGAUGUGAUGGAUUACGCAGCCAAUUUGCUUGAAGUUUGUGGUUCAUUAAUCCAGCUCUUUGAAAUUCAAAGAACUGAAGUGAUGUCAUUUGGAAUGUACAUCACACAAAAUUAAUGGGGUUCCUUGGUCAGAAGUGAGAAGGAAGACAAUGUGACGAGGGAAAAAAGGGGCUGGUGAGGGGUGGGAAGCCUGGUUUCCAAAGGGAGAAACUGCCUAGCCAUUCAGAGCCCCUCAUGGUCCCCCCACAUAGGCUUUGAGGGGACCCCGCUUUGUGGGGCAGCCUUGCCAGGAAUAAGAAAACACAAAGUGUUGCUUAUUCAAGCGGUUCCCCAGAAUUCCACAGCAGUAGCUGCUGUUAAAAGUUUUAGUCUGUCUGGUUCAAAUCAGCUGAUCUGACUGGU